GUAAAUAUUGUAAAUGUUUCAUGUACAAAUUUUGAGUCAAACAUAAAACUAGUUUAUUUUAUAUGAUGUCUAAUAGAAAUGCGUUUAUAAAUGUUCCUUUUAAAAUAAUUUUGUAAUGAAAAGUGUCUUACUGAGAGAGGCGGGUAGAUUUAUUUUUUCGUGUUGGACAAUCAUGUUCAGCCUGUUGCAACGUGAAAACAGCUUUA
Pelobates cultripes (western spadefoot toad) is the source of this 206-nucleotide non-coding RNA. The record is from the annotation of a GenBank genome assembly. Lineage: Eukaryota; Metazoa; Chordata; Amphibia; Anura; Pelobatidae.